RNAcentral lists this long non-coding RNA (899 nucleotides) under Macaca mulatta (Rhesus monkey). Its description in RNAcentral is "lncRNA (ENSMMUG00000050177.1)". The record is from RNAcentral. Lineage: Eukaryota; Metazoa; Chordata; Mammalia; Primates; Cercopithecidae.
CUCCAGCCUGGUGACAAGGCAAGACUCCAUCUCAAAAUAAUAAAAUAAAUAAAGUAAUUAUUAAAAAUACAAUUAAAAUGGAAAAUAAUGGUAAGGAAAACAAUAAAGGAGAUUACUCAAGGAAAAUGACAAGGGCUAGGGUCAUACCUCCGACAGAUCUCUCAUUUAAUGGUUGAAUCAAUGAGUCUUCAAGAGACGGAAAGGGGAUCCUAGGAUGGUAGAAAGAGAACCAAGGGAGUGUGUCAGCACAGAAUCUAAGGUAAGUGAUGGCUCCAGUGAAGAGGCAAGCAUCAUCAGUGCCUUGAGCUGCUAAGGGGCAAGAGAGUAAAGAAUUUAACAAUUGUUGGAUUUAGGGCAUGAAGGGUGUUGGUGAACUACUGUCUUUUUUGGUGGAGGGAUGUGGGCAGAAGCUAAUUGCAUGAACGUCAUUGCAAAUGGGAGGUGAGGAAACAGGAACAAGAGAACAGGCAGUGCAAACUGUUCUCACUGCGGCAGACGCCAUUCUUCCCACCAGCUUGGCUGUAGCAGGGAGAGAACAGCAGGACAGCAGUGGGAGAGAGAUGUGGCAUCCAGGGAGAUGUGCUUAUCGGCUUGCUUGCCUAUUUGCUGAAGACAGGAAUUUUGAGGAUGUUCACGCACAGCCUAACUGCCCCAUGCUGGACACGGGAGGGGACCACCCCACUCCUGGAGGAACAUUGGUCCCACUGACUGCAAAAGCCAACAAGCACAGCAAAUCGGACCCUGGAGCUGAUCCAAACAACGCAGAGGGAAGUAAAGGCACUUCGAUGUGUUCUUACACCUUCUCUUUUGCAAGAAGUCAUGCUAGAUUGCUUGAGAAAGUGCUAAUCACCGAGGUUUGGGAACCCCCCAUUCCUGGUGCCCAACAAAACAGUUGUUGA